AUAUUUAUAUGUACCAGGGCGUGGUUUACAUAUUGCACUCCAAAUGUGCAAGCCCUGUGGUUUCCCCAAAUGCGGGAAACUCAACUGCAUAAUUUGUGGUAGUGGGGGACUGUGUUCAUGCUUUCCCUUG
This 130-nucleotide small nuclear RNA is filed under the name Choloepus hoffmanni (Hoffmann's two-fingered sloth). RNAcentral describes it as "U1 spliceosomal RNA (ENSCHOG00000015068.1)". It matches the Rfam family "U1 spliceosomal RNA", at positions 33 to 166 of the family's 166-position model. From Rfam's summary of the family: U1 is a small nuclear RNA (snRNA) component of the spliceosome (involved in pre-mRNA splicing). Lineage: Eukaryota; Metazoa; Chordata; Mammalia; Pilosa; Megalonychidae. The record is from RNAcentral.